UACGUAGGUGGCAAGCGUUGUCCGGAUUUACUGGGCGUAAAGAGCGCGCAGGCGGCCGAGUAAGUCGAAUGUGAAAGCCCCCGGCUCAACUGGGGAACGUCAUUCGAUACUGUUCGGCUCGAAGAUAGGAGAGGGAAGCGGAAUUUCAGGUGUAGUGGUGAAAUGCGUAGAUAUCUGAAGGAACACCAGUGGCGAAGGCGGCUUUCUGGCCUAUUCUUGACGCUGAGGCGCGAAAGCUAGGGGAGCGAACGGG
Molecule: ribosomal RNA, 253 nt
Filed under: uncultured bacterium
Lineage: Bacteria
Description: partial 16S ribosomal RNA
Rfam family: Bacterial small subunit ribosomal RNA
Source: RNAcentral